Tupaia belangeri (northern tree shrew) is the source of this 301-nucleotide unclassified non-coding RNA. It matches the Rfam family "Nuclear RNase P". Rfam says of the family: Ribonuclease P (RNase P) is a ubiquitous endoribonuclease, found in archaea, bacteria and eukarya as well as chloroplasts and mitochondria. The record is from Ensembl. NCBI's taxonomy places the organism in Eukaryota, Metazoa, Chordata, Mammalia, Scandentia, Tupaiidae.
AAAGGUUUACAUCUUAAAUUGGUGGGGCUAUGAGCUGAGUUCAUCACGUCACUCCAUCCUAUGUCCCCUGGGAAGGUCUGAGACUAGGGCCAGCAGUGGCCCUAACAGGGCCUCCCUGAGUGCAGGGAGGUGAAUUCCCAGAGAACAGGGCUCUGCACGAGGGCAGACCGGGCAGGAAGUAAAGCUUUGAGGGGCACAAUAUCCCUGACUGUGUACUGCUGAAGGGCAUUGUGGGCAACGUAGGUUUUCCUCUUAUUAAAUACUUCAAUAAACAGGUAUUCAGAACAAGCCUGGUCACUCU